UUAGUACUCCCUCCGUCCCAAAAUUCUUGUCUUAACUUUGUUUAGAAAUGGAUAUAUCUAAAUACUAAAACAAAUCUAAGACAAGAAUUUUGGGACGGAGGGAGUAUUAU
Molecule: non-coding RNA, 110 nt
Organism: Hordeum vulgare subsp. vulgare (domesticated barley)
Lineage: Eukaryota; Viridiplantae; Streptophyta; Magnoliopsida; Poales; Poaceae
Source: Rfam